CCUGCUCCGAAAGCGGGACGCCCUGCCCUGCCCUGCCGUGCUGUGCUCUGGAGCAGCUCGUGUACCCCAACUCAGGUGUAAGGGAGUACCUGAUGUAGCUCAGAGCUCCCCAGCAGCCUCUGUUAGCGCCCCGCUCACCCCACCGCCGCCCUUCCUCAGUGGCAUACCUACAUUUCAGGUGAAGCUGGUAGAAAAUAAUAUCAUAAAAUCUAGAACAAGCUAACUUGUCAGAAGGGAUAUUUAGAUCCAUUUGAAAACCAGUGAGGAUAACCCAAGACACAGUUCCUGUACGCAGACAGGAGACUCACCGGAUCAGAGAAGCAUCCAAUUUUAGCCUCCUGACAAGCCUGUGGGAUCAGCAGUAACAUUAGGACAAGACCAAGUGGCUUCCCGUGCAAUUAAGGUGAAUCACAUAAUCGCUUUCUUCCUCAUUUUCAAAGCAGAGGUAAUGCAAUACCUCUCUCUCAGAUACAAAGUGGGGACAAAUUCCUUUUUUGGAGAGCACUUUGAUGACUCUUGAGUCACAGGAGCGCUCAGCACAACACAGCAAGCACUUCAGAUCCCCACGGAGCUCUUAAAAUGUAUAAAAGAGGUAAAGGUUUCCAUGAGAACUGUGCUGAACACCACAAAACAGAUGAAAAUACUGCUGCCAAAGGCUUAACAAAGUGUUGUCCAGAACUUACCAACUUUCCUUAAUAUAGAUGAGACUCAGCCAAUGUUGGGAGCUGACCUGUGCAAUCUGGUCUAGAGAGCCUGCUUAGGUAGGAGGGUUGGACUCGAUGAUUCCUAGAGGCCCCUUCCAGCCUCUACAGUUCCGUGAUUCUGUGACCCCAGAAUCCCAUUUAUUAGGUCAGUGCUCUCAUCAGAUGAGGCACAGUACCCACAGACAGGUGAAACCCAUGUUGAUCACCUCUGCGCUGCAAGGGUGAAUCUCUUGUCUGAUGCUGGAAGAGAACCACAGGGAUCAUUGAGUUACAGGCUCUCAAAGUUCAAACCAAGGAAUAAGGCUGCGAGGGCAUAGGUCAGCUACCCCGGCACCCCUUAAGGCACAUUCUAUGUUUUACAGGGAAAACACAUAUCUAGAUGUGAAUGCUGGGUCUGCCUAGAAAUCUGAAUGCACUCAAUGUGGCAAAGAUUCAGCCGAAAUGCAGAAAAGAAUGCUAGGAGGAAAGAUACCCCAAACCUGGUAUUCUGUGAAGGGAGCGUCUCUUACAGCAUUCCUCCUUUCCUUGGUGGUUCAUGGCUGUGGACUGCUUAUUUCUAUUGUGACAGUCAUAAGACAACAACAAAAGCCACCACUAAACCACAAAGAUCAAAAAUCACACACCACAAAACCCACAACUAAAAUGGCAGCAACUUCAGAGCUGAAGUCUUCAGAAUUCCUCCCCGUUGAUUUUUUUUUGCUGAACACGGGAAAACAAAAACCUGUAAGACUUCUAUAGAAAUUCCCUUUGUUAUCAGGUCUGUUACUAGAAGUGCAGGUAUCUGGCAGAGUAAUCACUACCGCUUCAUAGCUACAUUCCUCUCAACAAAGGAACAGAAGAUACGGAUAGAAAAAUCAAAGUGUGGUUUAAUGAAUACGUGCAUUUGGGGCACGCAUAUCUACCGAACAGUAGCUGUCCACAUCCCUUUCCUCUGCAACUAUGAAACCCCAAAGCAACAAAGAGAUGCUUAAGACAGGAAGACAAGGAAAGCGGCGUACUGAAAAACAGGCUGUGUAGGCUGCUCCCUCCCACAGCUGUCCGGUGCAGCUUUACGAGUUAGUGAUGUGCUUCCUUCCUUCAGCUGGUUCAAUGGGACUAUUAUUACCAGUCGCUGAUAGGAGCAGUAGGAAAGGUAUGAAGUGGGAGUUUUACAGGGACUCAUUCUUGAUUCAACAGUCAGCAUGUGAACUAACUUAGGAAGACAGAAAUCAAAAGCAGGAGUAGCAUGAGAAGCGUGCCUCAGAGGGACAAACAUCCUGCAGGAUUAUUAUAUUUAGGUAGCAAUAUAAUAAAAUGAAGCCCAAUAAGAUUCAACUGGGUACAAUGUAGUAAGUGCACAACAAACAAACUACAAAGACAACCAUACAUUACUGGCUGAACUCUCAAGACAAUUACUUUCAGAAUAAUUUAACUAUGGCAGAUAAAAAUAAAGCUUAACAAA
Long non-coding RNA from Gallus gallus (chicken), 2145 nucleotides. The record is from Ensembl. Lineage: Eukaryota; Metazoa; Chordata; Aves; Galliformes; Phasianidae.